UACGUAGGCGGUUAAAUAAGUCAGGUGUAAAAGGCAUUGGCUCAACCAAUGUAAGCACUUGAAACUGUUUGACUUGAGUAUAGGAGAGGUAAGUGGAAUUCCUAGUGUAGCGGUGAAAUGCGUAGAGAUUGGGAGGAACACCAGUGGCGAAGGCGACUUACUGGGCCGUAACUGACGCUGAGGCGCGAAAGCGUGGGGAGCGAAACA
RNAcentral lists this ribosomal RNA (207 nucleotides) under uncultured bacterium. RNAcentral describes it as "partial 16S ribosomal RNA". It matches the Rfam family "Bacterial small subunit ribosomal RNA", at positions 568 to 775 of the family's 1533-position model. The record is from RNAcentral.